GAUAGCCACAAAUUAAGCGAGAUAAUUUUAUGCAAAAUCGUGUUUGCAUAUAAAAGAGACAAAAUGUGAUUUGUCCAAAAGUGAAUAAGGCAAAUAUGUACCAUGUCAUUGAGGUGAUAUGAUGCCAUCUUGUGAAAGUCACGAAAGUGAUAAAAUGCCAAUGAUUGGAGAUUAGUCUCAUUCGUUGUUGAAUUGGACUUCAAUCAUGGAACUAAAUUGAAUUGGUUUAUGCUUGAAAAGCAUGGUAGGUCUAUGAGAUGACCUUGAUCAAAAUUGUGUGAUCAAAAUUAAAUAGUGGAUUGAAGCACAUUGUGAAUUAAUGAUAAAUAUCUGAAAGUAUGUAGACUUUCACGGUUAUUAUUGAAGUGAUAAGCAAAU
RNAcentral lists this long non-coding RNA (378 nucleotides) under Olea europaea subsp. europaea. The record is from RNAcentral. Lineage: Eukaryota; Viridiplantae; Streptophyta; Magnoliopsida; Lamiales; Oleaceae.